GGGGGUGUAGCUCAGUUGGGAGAGCGCCUGCCUUGCACGCAGGAGGCCAUCGGUUCGAACCCGGUCACCUCCA
This is a transfer RNA of Pelobacter sp., 73 nucleotides long. It matches the Rfam family "tRNA". From Rfam's summary of the family: Transfer RNA (tRNA) molecules are approximately 80 nucleotides in length. Their secondary structure includes four short double-helical elements and three loops (D, anti-codon, and T loops). Further hydrogen bonds mediate the characteristic L-shaped molecular structure. tRNAs have two regions of fundamental functional importance: the anti-codon, which is responsible for specific mRNA codon recognition, and the 3' end, to which the tRNAs corresponding amino acid is attached (by aminoacyl-tRNA synthetases). tRNAs cope with the degeneracy of the genetic code in two manners: having more than one tRNA (with a specific anti-codon) for a particular amino acid; and 'wobble' base-pairing, i.e. permitting non-standard base-pairing at the 3rd anti-codon position. Lineage: Bacteria; Pseudomonadati; Thermodesulfobacteriota; Desulfuromonadia; Desulfuromonadales; Desulfuromonadaceae. The record is from Rfam.